CGUAAUAAAAAUACAAUAGAAUUUUCGCGAACGGUUCGGCUUCGAUUUUGAUGAAACUUCAUACACUUAUAAAGCAGCCAAAAAUAAUCGACACUUUUUUUAGCUGCGGUAACUCGUUUAAGGAAUGAAACCACCCCUUGAAGUUUUGGCUCGA
Colletes gigas is the source of this 154-nucleotide long non-coding RNA. RefSeq lists it as uncharacterized. The transcript is spliced from 3 exons. Lineage: Eukaryota; Metazoa; Arthropoda; Insecta; Hymenoptera; Colletidae. The record is from RefSeq and is a predicted model, not a curated record.